UACGGAGGAUGCGAGCGUUAUCCGGAUUUAUUGGGUUUAAAGGGUGCGCAGGCGGGAGAUUAAGUCGGCGGUGAAAUUUUGCAGCUCAACUGUAAAAGUGCCUUCGAAACUGGUUUCCUUGAGUGUAGAUGAAGUAGGCGGAAUUUGUGGUGUAGCGGUGAAAUGCAUAGAUAUCACGAGGAACUCCGAUUGCGCAGGCAGCUUACUAAACUACUACUGACGCUCAGGCACGAAGGCGUGGGGAUCAAACAGGAUUAGAUACCCGGGUAGU
This 271-nucleotide ribosomal RNA is filed under the name uncultured prokaryote. RNAcentral's name for it is "partial 16S ribosomal RNA". It matches the Rfam family "Bacterial small subunit ribosomal RNA", at positions 524 to 794 of the family's 1533-position model. The record is from RNAcentral.